GAUGAACGCUGGCGGCGUGCCUAAUACAUGCAAGUCGAGCGAACGGACGAGAAGCUUGCUUCUCUGAUGUUAGCGGCGGACGGGUGAGUAACACGUGGAUAACCUACCUAUAAGACUGGGAUAACUUCGGGAAACCGGAGCUAAUACCGGAUAAUAUUUUGAACCGCAUGGUUCAAAAGUAAAAGACGGUCUUGCUGUCACUUAUAGAUGGAUCCGCGCUGCAUUAGCUAGUUGGUAAGGUAACGGCUUACCAAGGCAACGAUGCAUAGCCGACCUGAGAGGGUGAUCGGCCACACUGGAACUGAGACACGGUCCAGACUACUACGGGAGGCAGCAGUAGGGAAUCUUCCGCAAUGGGCGAAAGCCUGACGGAGCAACGCCGCGUGAGUGAUGAAGGUCUUCGGAUCGUAAAACUCUGUUAUUAGGGAAGAACACAUGUGUAAGUAACUGUGCACAUCUUGACGGUACCUAAUCAGAAAGCCACGGCUAACUACGUG
This 497-nucleotide ribosomal RNA is filed under the name uncultured bacterium. Its description in RNAcentral is "partial 16S ribosomal RNA". It matches the Rfam family "Bacterial small subunit ribosomal RNA", at positions 28 to 507 of the family's 1533-position model. The record is from RNAcentral.